RNAcentral lists this ribosomal RNA (484 nucleotides) under uncultured bacterium. Its description in RNAcentral is "partial 16S ribosomal RNA". It matches the Rfam family "Bacterial small subunit ribosomal RNA", at positions 30 to 507 of the family's 1533-position model. The record is from RNAcentral.
AUUGAACGCUAGCGGGAUGCUUUACACAUGCAAGUCGAACGGCAGCGCGGACUUCGGUCUGGCGGCGAGUGGCGAACGGGUGAGUAAUGUAUCGGAACGUGCCCAGUAGCGGGGGAUGACUACGCGAAAGCGUAGCUAAUACCGCAUACGCCCUACGGGGGAAAGCAGGGGAUCGUAAGACCUUGCACUAUUGGAGCGGCCGAUAUCGGAUUAGCUAGUUGGUGAGGUAACGGCUCACCAAGGCGACGAUCCGUAGCUGGUUUGAGAGGACGACCAGCCACACUGGGACUGAGACACGGCCCAGACUCCUACGGGAGGCAGCAGUGGGGAAUUUUGGACAAUGGGGGCAACCCUGAUCCAGCCAUCCCGCGUGUGCGAUGAAGGCCUUCGGGUUGUAAAGCACUUUUGGCAGGAAAGAAACGUCGCGGGCUAAUACCCCGUGGAACUGACGGUACCUGCAGAAUAAGCACCGGCUAACUACGUG